AUUGAACGCUGGCGGCAUGCCUUACACAUGCAAGUCGAACGGUAACGCGGGGCAACCUGGCGACGAGUGGCGAACGGGUGAGUAAAGCAUCGGAACGUGCCCAGUAGUGGGGGAUAGCCCGGCGAAAGCCGGAUUAAUACCGCAUACGACCUAAGGGUGAAAGGGGGGGAUCGCAAGACCUCUCGCUAUUGGAGCGGCCGAUGUCAGAUUAGCUAGUUGGUGGGGUAAAAGCUCACCAAGGCGACGAUCUGUAGCUGGUCUGAGAGGACGACCAGCCACACUGGGACUGAGACACGGCCCAGACUCCUACGGGAGGCAGCAGUGGGGAAUUUUGGACAAUGGACGAAAGUCUGAUCCAGCCAUGCCGCGUGCGGGAAGAAGGCCUUCGGGUUGUAAACCGCUUUUGUCAGGGAAGAAAUCCUUUGAGCUAAUACCUCGGGGGGAUGACGGUACCUGAAGAAUAAGCACCGGCUAACUACGUGCCAGCAGCCGCAGUAA
This 498-nucleotide ribosomal RNA is filed under the name uncultured bacterium. RNAcentral's name for it is "partial 16S ribosomal RNA". It matches the Rfam family "Bacterial small subunit ribosomal RNA", at positions 29 to 523 of the family's 1533-position model. The record is from RNAcentral.